AGACCAAUCCAGUAUCCGUGGGAAUCAUCGUAGUACGAGUUGGUGUGAUUACUGAUGAAUUCCUGUGAGGCAUUAAAUGACAGAUCAUCAACAUUCACACUUUCAGCAACUCAUUCUGACCAGACCUUUUGUUUUUUUUCUUUAGUCUUGUGAAGGUGGCGUGGCGAUGCUGCUGGAGCUCACCUGUUCUUGCAGACCAUUAAUAACAACCAGAUCUGCAGUUUUGCUUCGGCAGUACUUUCGGCUUUCUUCCCACGUCUUCCAAGGAUCUUCUUCAUAAAACAGAUCCAACGGUUCUUUAUGGUGCAAGUCGUUUUUUGCCAGCUCUCCAGGGGAUUCACACGUUUCAGAUUUAAAGCACAAGAUUCCCUUAAAUCGUCUUGUUCUGGUAUCCAGUACCUGAGGAGGAAAAACAUCAGGUAAGAUCAGUCUUUUGGGAAGUAGACUAUACUUGAUUUCAUGUUAGAGAAGGGAUGUCUGGAGGACCAAUAGUUUCAUCUCAGUAUGUAGUUUGGUGCCAUAAGUAGCAAUGAUAGUUUAGUUGUCAUAGUUACUAGAGAUAUUAGACAUUAAAGCCAUGUGGAAGGUCAAAAUCCAAUGCAGGUGCAGUUGUGUUAUAGAUAUUUAGUAUUUGAUGACCAAAAGCCAGAAUGCAAACAGUGUCAGAGAGCAUUUAAAGGACACUCUACAAAAUAAUCUAAGGAGCUCAAAGACAGCCAAUAUUAACCUGACUUUCUCAGAAUAAGAAGGACCCCAAGGUUUAUUUAAGAAAAUAUGGUCUCAUUCAUGCAGAAUAUCUUUUAGGACGGGGCUAACUUGUGAAUGGCAUACUGGUAACAGAGCAAAUUAGAACGAUGGUCGUUUUCUCAUACACUUCUAAAGAAUCAGAUGUCUUUGUUCAACCAGAUGAGCCGCCCCCUGCUGGUUGUUAGAAACACUGUAGGUUUACAGCUUCAUUUUUGAGAUGCUGCAUGCAUGUUUAUUGUAAAGGAAUUAAGUCAAACGAUCUUCCUUAGAAUGUUCUAGAUGAUGGACAAAAAACAAGACUAAGUUGAUAUUAAAACUAACUUUCAGGUUAUUACAUUUGACUAGAACCACAGUUUUGUCCACAUAAACGAAACAGAAAAUACUUAAUAGCUGAAUUAACAGAAGGUUGUGUUAGCAACACAUUAGCCUCUGCUUGAGUUGCAUGUUCUUUGCGCUGCAAAAUAUACAGGAAUCAAAACGGAAAUGUACGUAUAUAGGUUUUGCAUAUAUAAUAAGUUAAAUACUAAAAUGUCUUAGACUUGCCUUUGUUAUUACUGCAAGUGACUUUGCGUGUUGUCUUUGUUCUGUUACUGGUGCAAAAAGACUUUUCAUGACAAAUAAGACUCUUUAAGGUGAGAAAAUGUAUAUAGAAAACAAAGAUUUUCAAUAACAUAAUACUUUAUCCAUCCAUCCAUUCUCUAUACACCGCUUUAUCCUCACUAGGGUCGCGGGGGGUGCUGGAGCCUAUCCCAGCUGACUCGGGCGAAGGCAGGGGACACCCUGGACAGGUCGCCAGUAUGUCACAGGGCUACAUAUACAGACAAACAAUCACACUCACAUUCGCACCUACGGGCAAUUUAGAGUAACCAAUUAACCUCAGCAUAUUUUUGGACUGUGGGAGGAAGCCGGAGUGCCCGGAGAAAACCCACGCAUGCACAGGGAGAACAUGCAAACUCCAUGCAGAAAGAUCCCAGGCCACCCUGGGAUUUAAACCGGGGAUCUUCUUGCUGCAAGGUGACAGUGCUAACCACUACAUCACUGCGCAGCCCACAUAAUACUUCAGGAUUCUUGAAUUAGUUUUCUCUUGUUCAGUUACUUGCUGUCUUCAACAUAAGCAGAGCUACGUCACAUUAUGAAGGCGACAGUGGAACCUACAGCUUGAAAUGACUGAUAGCUGGGAGAUGUGUGAGUGUUGUAUCACAGAGAGAGCUGUUGUCGUGUAAAAAUGUCAGCAUCUCUGUGGGACUAAUUUCAUAGUUAAAGUUAAUAAAUGAACCCACUAGCUUGUU
This is a long non-coding RNA of Acanthochromis polyacanthus (spiny chromis), 2036 nucleotides long. RefSeq lists it as uncharacterized. NCBI's taxonomy places the organism in Eukaryota, Metazoa, Chordata, Actinopteri, Pomacentridae. The record is from RefSeq and is a predicted model, not a curated record. The transcript is spliced from 2 exons.